CCUACGGGAGGCAGCAGUGAGGAAUAUUGGUCAAUGGGCGCGAGUCUGAACCAGCCAAGCAGCGUGCAGGAAGACGGCUCUACGGGUUGUAAACUGCUUUUGUACGAGGGUAAAGGGAGGUACGCGUGCCUGUCUGAAAGUAUCUUACGAAUAAGGAUCGGCUAACUCCGUGCCAGCAGCCGCGGUAAUACGGAGGAUUCAAGCGUUAUCCGGAUUUAUUGGGGUUAAAGGGAGCGUAGGCGGUCGGAUAAGUUAGAGGUGAAAUCCCGAGGCUCAACCUCGGAAUUGCAUCUGAUACUGGUAGGCGAGAGAGUAGUUGCGGUAGGCGGAAUGUAUGGUGUAGCGGUGAAAUGCUUAGAGAUCAUACAGAACACCGAUUGCGAAGGCAGCUUACCAAGCUACCUCUGACGUUGAGGCACGAAAGCGUGGGGAGCAAACAGGAUUAGAUACCCCAGUAGUC
This 460-nucleotide ribosomal RNA is filed under the name uncultured bacterium. Its description in RNAcentral is "partial 16S ribosomal RNA". It matches the Rfam family "Bacterial small subunit ribosomal RNA", at positions 338 to 795 of the family's 1533-position model. The record is from RNAcentral.